This 460-nucleotide ribosomal RNA is filed under the name uncultured bacterium. RNAcentral describes it as "partial 16S ribosomal RNA". It matches the Rfam family "Bacterial small subunit ribosomal RNA", at positions 338 to 795 of the family's 1533-position model. The record is from RNAcentral.
CCUACGGGAGGCAGCAGUGAGGAAUAUUAGUCAAUGGACGAGAGUCUGAACCAGCCAAGUAGCGUGAAGGAUGACUGCCCUAUGGGUUGUAAACUUCUUUUAUAUGGGAAUAAAACGUUCCACGUGUGGGAUUUUGUAUGUACCAUAUGAAUAAGGAUCGGCUAACUCCGUGCCAGCAGCCGCGGUAAUACGGAGGAUCCGAGCGUUAUCCGGAUUUAUUGGGUUUAAAGGGAGCGUAGGUGGAUUGUUAAGUCAGUUGUGAAAGUUUGCGGCUCAACCGUAAAAUUGCAGUUGAAACUGGCAGUCUUGAGUACAGUAGAGGUGGGCGGAAUUCGUGGUGUAGCGGUGAAAUGCUUAGAUAUCACGAAGAACUCCGAUUGCGAAGGCAGUUCACUGGACUGCAACUGACACUGAGGCUCGAAAGUGUGGGUAUCAAACAGGAUUAGAUACCCUAGUAGUC